Molecule: ribosomal RNA, 403 nt
Filed under: Fusobacteriota bacterium
Lineage: Bacteria; Fusobacteriati; Fusobacteriota
Description: Fusobacteria bacterium partial 16S ribosomal RNA
Rfam family: Bacterial small subunit ribosomal RNA
Source: RNAcentral
UGGGGAAUAUUGCACAAUGGAGGGAACUCUGAUGCAGCGACGCCGCGUGAACGAAGAAGGCUUUCGAGUCGUAAAGUUCUUUUAUAUGGGAAGAUAAUGACGGUACCAUAAGAAAAAGCCCCGGCUAACUACGUGCCAGCAGCCGCGGUAAUACGUAGGGGGCUAGCGUUGUCCGGAAUCACUGGGCGUAAAGGGUUCGCAGGCGGAAAUGCAAGUCAGGUGUAAAAGGCAGUAGCUUAACUACUGUAAGCAUUUGAAACUGCAUAUCUUGAGAAGAGUAGAGGUAAGUGGAAUUUUUAGUGUAGCGGUGAAAUGCGUAGAUAUUGAAAAGAAUACCGGUGGCGAAGGCGACUUACUGGGCUCAUUCUGACGCUGAGGAACGAAAGCGUGGGUAGCAAACAGG